RNAcentral lists this long non-coding RNA (577 nucleotides) under Gossypium raimondii (Peruvian cotton). Its description in RNAcentral is "long non-coding RNA (GRAI_LNC000077)". Lineage: Eukaryota; Viridiplantae; Streptophyta; Magnoliopsida; Malvales; Malvaceae. The record is from RNAcentral.
AAAACUAAUUCUAGUUGAUUUGAUUAACCUUGUUUUCAAGUAGUUCUAAAGUGUUUGAAUUGUACAAGCCCAAUUUUGCCCGGGCCCAGUACACUCAAAGCAGACCAAGACCAAACCAAAAAAACCUAACUCAAUUACAAUUCAGCCCACUAUUCAACCAAACAAACAACCCAAUUACAAAUAAAUAAAAUACCCCAGCCCAAACAACAACCCAAGCCCAAACCUAACCCUAGUAGCCCAAAACCCACAAACUUAAAAAAAAUUUCAGCAAAAAAAAACCUAGCCACAUGUAGCUGCUGCCUUCCAGCCUACGCAUGGCCUCCUCGCAUGCCCGCCGCCACUGCUCGCCAAUCGUUGGCCCUCCACGCGUGUCAGACCUCCUGCAAGAAAAAGAAAACAAAAGAAAAACAAACAAUAACAGUAGACAAAGAAGAAAAAACAAAAAGAAAUAGACAAAAGAAAAUAAUGGCGAAUAGCCUAGGUUCGGCUAUAAGAGCCGAAAAUGAAACUGUUGACACCAUUUUUUUGUUAAAAAAGGGUCGACUUAGGUUUUGAAAAAUGAAAACGAAUGUGGGAG